This 72-nucleotide transfer RNA is filed under the name Coscinodiscus wailesii. RNAcentral describes it as "tRNA-Glu". It matches the Rfam family "tRNA". Rfam says of the family: Transfer RNA (tRNA) molecules are approximately 80 nucleotides in length. Their secondary structure includes four short double-helical elements and three loops (D, anti-codon, and T loops). Further hydrogen bonds mediate the characteristic L-shaped molecular structure. tRNAs have two regions of fundamental functional importance: the anti-codon, which is responsible for specific mRNA codon recognition, and the 3' end, to which the tRNAs corresponding amino acid is attached (by aminoacyl-tRNA synthetases). tRNAs cope with the degeneracy of the genetic code in two manners: having more than one tRNA (with a specific anti-codon) for a particular amino acid; and 'wobble' base-pairing, i.e. permitting non-standard base-pairing at the 3rd anti-codon position. The record is from RNAcentral. Lineage: Eukaryota; Bacillariophyta; Coscinodiscophyceae; Coscinodiscales; Coscinodiscaceae.
GUCUUUAUUGUCUAAUGGUUAAGACAUUACCCUUUCACGGUAAAUAUACGAGUUCGAAUCUCGUUAAAGAUA